Molecule: long non-coding RNA, 1222 nt
Organism: Malus domestica (apple)
Lineage: Eukaryota; Viridiplantae; Streptophyta; Magnoliopsida; Rosales; Rosaceae
Source: RefSeq, a predicted model, not a curated record
AUAUUAUAUACAAAAAGCAAUCAGAUUGAACAGGUUUUCAAAUCAAUCAGAUUGAACAGAGGCUUUCUUUUAGCUUCGAAUAAAAACAGAAACAGGUUGGGGCUUUUAGGUUCGAAAAAAAACAGAAAAGGGUUCUGUACAGAUUGAGUUUCAAAAUUAACAAAGUGAAAACGAAGUCGAAGGCUCUCACCAGCAUUUGCAGACGGAGACGAUGGAGACGACGGAUUAGUUGCAGACGGAAACGAUAGAGACGACAGACGGACGGAGCAAUUGCAGACAACAAGUCUGAUUUCUGAGGUGAAGCUCUCUGGAUCAGUUAGUGGCGUAUACUGGACUUCUUUGCUUAUGGCGUCUCCUUUGGCUCUUGGAGACAUCGAAAUUGACAUUGUCAAUAGACUCGUUUCUAGUCCUUUUGUGGAGAUGACUUUGAAAGUGAUGGAACACUUUGGUGUCACAUUGCAACAUAACGAUAUUUUAGAUUGAUUUUUCGUCCAAGGCGGUCAAAAGUACAAAGUAUGUUUUAUUUAGCCGAACCGCUGUGAGAAAUAUUGUUUUCUUGUGUGUAACAAAAUAAAAAGAAUAUACCAGGUCUCCUGGGAAUGCUUUUGUCGAAGGUGAUGCUUCGAGUGCAAGUUACUUCCUAGCUGGUGCUGCUGUCAUCAGAGGAACUGUCACUGUUGAGGGCUGUGGUAUUUUGCACACACCAAUAUAUUUUUGUUUAAUUCAGCGUAUGCAUAAAACAAAUUUCAGAUUGAACAUAUUUAGAUGUUUUCGAAUAAUUUAUUUCCAAAUUCGUAGUUACAACUAUCUAUUAGACGAUUUGUGAAAAUAGUUGUGAAUUAUGCAUACAAAAUUCAAGUAAUCUAAUGACUUUCCUCGUACUUGAUAUUCCUAAACCUUUUCUCUAACAUUUUCGGACGUAAAAAUUUCAGCCGGAGCAACGGUUGAAGAAGGAUCAGAUUACUGCAUGAUCAUACCGCCGGAAAAACUAAAUGUGACAUGAAUGAACAUGUACAACGACCACAGACAGGCCAUGGCAUUCUCUCUCGCUGCAUGUGGAGAUGUUCCGGUUACCAUCAAGGAUCCCGGUUGUACCAGUAAAACAUUCCCUGGUUGCUUUCAAGUCCUUGGGAAGUUUACCAAGCAUUGGACAAAGCAAUGCAGAUGUAAUUUUGGAUGCUUACAUUUUUCAAGUAGAGCACAUUAAUUAGUUUUUCUAAGA